AGAGGGGCCAUUCUUUACAUAUUAGAGGCGCGCCGGUCCUUGUCUUCGCCUCCUCCUCUCGGGGUCCGCAUUCUUUUCCGCUCCCCUGCCCCCUCUGGUUUGAAGCAGGCAAACCCACAGGAUGUGGGGGACUGCGCUCCUCCGGAGAAGGAAGAUUUGAGCGUGCACACAGCCUGAAACCUGGGGCUAACAUACUGGUAGCAGACCAGGAGAGGAACUAUCCCAGAGGUUUUCAAAAUUUUAAAGGCCGUCCAAUCCGGCGGGCCAGUGCAAGUUUACAAUCAGCGAAACCGCCCUAAUGGAGGCACAAGGUCUGAGAACCACCCCCACCCCUCCCAACUCGGGCCACCACCCUCUUUGCUAUAAAACACUUCGUAAUCCCUAAAAGAGCUGGCUGGCUGGCUGAACUCGGA
Molecule: long non-coding RNA, 413 nt
Filed under: Capra hircus (goat)
Lineage: Eukaryota; Metazoa; Chordata; Mammalia; Artiodactyla; Bovidae
Description: lncRNA (ENSCHIG00000004243.1)
Source: RNAcentral